This 1252-nucleotide ribosomal RNA is filed under the name metagenome. Its description in RNAcentral is "SSU rRNA". It matches the Rfam family "Eukaryotic small subunit ribosomal RNA", at positions 186 to 1376 of the family's 1831-position model. The record is from RNAcentral.
ACUUUACGGAACCCCAGUAUUUAUUAGAUUCAAACCAAUAUUCCGAAGGUCUACUUGAGAUGAUUCAUGAUAACUGAUCGAAUUGCUGGUCUACCGGCAAUAAGCCAUUCAUGUUUCUGCUUCCCAUCAGCUUGAUGGUAGUGUAUUGGACAACCAUGGCAUUCACGGGCUAUCGGGGGAUUAGGAUUCGAUUCCGGAGAGGGAGCCUGAGAAACGGCUACCACUUCUACGGAAGGCAGCAGGCGCGAAAAUUAUCCAAUCCUGAUUCAGGGAGGUAGUGAAACAAAUAAUGAACUAGGAUUUAUCCUGGGGUCACAAUGGGCUUGAUUUGCAAACUUUAUUUAGCGAGGAACAAUUGGAGGGCAAGUCUGGUGCCAGCAGCCGCGGUAAUUCCAGCUCCAAUAGUGUAUAUUAAUGUUCCUGCAGUUAUUCGAUGCUCGUAGUUGGAUUUCUGGAGGCUGAGAUCGGAGGGUAGCCAAGGUUACCGCUGAACUCUUCCUUCAUCCACCUGUUAACGUUGUCCGGGAUUCGUUUCUCGGCUUCGGGCUCAGGCAUAUACUUUUACCCUUUUUCUAUAUUUAUUGUUUUGAGUAAAUUAUAGUGUUUCAGGCAGGCGUGCGCCGGAAUACUUUAGCAUGGAAUAAUCGAAUUGGACCGUGUAUUCUUAUUGAAUUCUUCCUUAUUGUUGGCUCAAGGACACGGAAAUGGUUAAUAGGGAUAGUGUUUUUAUUAUCAGGGGAGGCAUUAGUAUUUAAUUUCCAGAGGUGAAAUUCUUUGAAAUAUUAAAGACUAACUUAUGCGAAAGCAUUUAUUAUUGCCAAUAAUGUUUUCAUUAAUCAUUGAACGAAAGUUAGGGGAUCAAAGACGAUCAGAUACCGUCCUAGUCUUAACCAUAAACGUUGCCGACUAGGGAUCGGAGGGCGUGCACAUUCCGCCUUCGGCACCUUACGAGAAAUCAAAGUCUUUUGGGUUCUGGGGGUAGUAUGGUCGCAAGGCUGAAACUUAAAGGAAUUGACGGAAGGGCACCACCAGGAGUGGAGCUUGCGGCUCAAUUUGACUCAACACGGGAAAUCUUACCAGGUCCAGACAUAGCGAGGAUUGACAGAUUGAUAGCUCUUUCUUGAUUCUAUGGGUAUUUUAUAUAUAUUUUGGUGGUGCAUGGCCGUUCUUAGUUAGUGGAGUGAUUUGUCUGGUUAAUUCCGUUAAACGAACGAGACCUCAGCCUGCUAAAUAGUUACCUGUCUUUUCAUUC